GACGAACGCUGGCGGCGUGCUUAACACAUGCAAGUCGAACGGAAAGGCCCUGCUUUUGUGGGGUGCUCGAGUGGCGAACGGGUGAGUAACACGUGAGUAACCUGCCCUUGACUUUGGGUUAACUUAAGGAAACUGGGGCUAAUACCGGAUAGGAGCUCCGGCGGCAGGGGGGGGGUGGGAAAGUUUCGGCGGUUGGGGAUGGACUCGCGGCUUAUCAGCUUGUUGGUGGGGUAGUGGCUUACCAAGGCUUUGACGGGUAGCCGGCCUGAGAGGGUGACCGGCCACAUUGGGACUGAGAUACGGCCCAGACUCCUACGGGAGGCAGCAGUGGGGAAUAUUGCACAAUGGGCGGAAGCCUGAUGCAGCAACGCCGCGUGCGGGAUGACGGCCUUCGGGUUGUAAACCGCUUUCGCCUGUGACGAAGCGUGAGUGACGGUAAUGGGUAAAGAAGCACCGGCUAACUACGUG
This 468-nucleotide ribosomal RNA is filed under the name uncultured bacterium. RNAcentral's name for it is "partial 16S ribosomal RNA". It matches the Rfam family "Bacterial small subunit ribosomal RNA", at positions 28 to 507 of the family's 1533-position model. The record is from RNAcentral.